Hevea brasiliensis (rubber tree) is the source of this 700-nucleotide RNA transcript. RefSeq lists it as uncharacterized. The transcript is spliced from 3 exons. The record is from RefSeq and is a predicted model, not a curated record. NCBI's taxonomy places the organism in Eukaryota, Viridiplantae, Streptophyta, Magnoliopsida, Malpighiales, Euphorbiaceae.
AAAAAAGAUAAAAGAUAAUUUUAUCUUUUUUAAAUUUGAAAACUUGUCAUUGGAUAAAGAAAUCCAAUUUUCCACUUGCAAGAAAUCAAAAGAAGAAGAUGGGAGAGGAAAGUGAUUUCGGCGUAUACGAACAGCUUAGGGAAAUGGUUGAUCUUCUGGCGCAUGUAUGACAAUGCUGCUCUCCACAUUGCCAAUAUCCCAAUUGUUGGAAGGUGAAUUGGCUUUUCCGGCAUGGGACUGAAUGCAAGACAGGUCAUUUUGGAGUUUGUGUUCUGUGCAAGAAAAUGUGGUAUCUCUUGCAACUUCAUGCUCCAUCAUGCAAAGAAACUGAAUGCCACAUACCACGUUGCAGAGAUCUAAAAGAACAUUCAAGAAGGCUGCAGCAGGACACUGAUGCGCGGCAUAGGGCUGCUGUGGAGGAGAUUCUGAGAAAGAGAGCUGCAGAUAUUGCUGGUAACUCUGGGUAACCAUUUUGUACAUAUUAAUAUGGUUGUUUUGAAGGUAAGGCUUCCAGAUAGAGAGCAGGAGGUAGACAAUAUGUUUUUCUGCUGCUCCAUUAGGGACUGCUUGAAAUUAUAAGCAGUGUAGGAAAAGUGGCAGGCAUAGGUGUUCAGAAGGGGUAGGCAUGGCCAUCAUUCUAGAUAUUCUAUUUUGUGAUUUUUGGAAUUGGACGUCAAAGACAUGAUCUUGGUACCCAGCA